This 604-nucleotide long non-coding RNA is filed under the name Homo sapiens (human). Its description in RNAcentral is "non-protein coding LRRC8C-DT:39". Lineage: Eukaryota; Metazoa; Chordata; Mammalia; Primates; Hominidae. The record is from RNAcentral.
CGGGAACUUCCUCCCCUGCAGAGACCACCUCGCUCCCGGGACUCGCCAGCGAGGGAUGCCGCCGGCCGCCGGGGGCCUUCUCCAGGACCAGGAGAGAAAUCCUCUCUCCGCUUCACGACGCGGCCACUCCCACCCCUGAGACGCCCACCUGGCGGACUCUGAGGGAGGAUUCGGCUGCGUCUAAUACCACCUCCACCCCUCAUCCCUCACAAUGCGCGGAAAACCACAGGCGGCUGUGCGCGCAGCGUCGGCUCAGCCACCGCAGCUCCUCCCCUGGGAUGAAAAAGCACUCUGACGUCUUGAAAGCUGGCAGCUCUCUGUUUGGAAAAUCUCUGCCCAGUGAAAAAAUGUACCGACAAGAUUACUAAGUAACACAGUCUUCUGGGAAUGCCUUAUCAAUGCCAGCUAUUUGAAGAGCACCCAAAGUCAAACUAGUGCUCCGCGCUGGCAGUCUGGAAAAGGCAGAUGUAUAUGAGAAAACUGAGCUGUAGAAAGGUUGCCUGACUUGUCUAAGAUAACACAGCUGGGAAGUUGAGGAGGCAGGUCUGACUGGUAUAAAAAACUCCAGCCCAGUGACUUCCAUACUACAAAAUGGACAAAAGAG